RNAcentral lists this ribosomal RNA (492 nucleotides) under uncultured bacterium. RNAcentral's name for it is "partial 16S ribosomal RNA". It matches the Rfam family "Bacterial small subunit ribosomal RNA", at positions 29 to 507 of the family's 1533-position model. The record is from RNAcentral.
AGUGAACGCUGGCGGUAGGCCUAACACAUGCAAGUCGAACGGCAGCACAGUAAGAGCUUGCUCUUACGGUUGGCGAGUGGCGGACGGGUGAGGAAUGCAUCGGAAUCUACUUUUUCGUGGGGGAUAACGUAGGGAAACUUACGCUAAUACCGCAUACGACCUACGGGUGAAAGCAGGGGAUCUUCGGACCUUGCGCGAUUGAAUGAGCCGAUGUCGGAUUAGCUAGUUGGCGGGGUAAAGGCCCACCAAGGCGACGAUCCGUAGCUGGUCUGAGAGGAUGAUCAGCCACACUGGAACUGAGACACGGUCCAGACUCCUACGGGAGGCAGCAGUGGGGAAUAUUGGACAAUGGGCGCAAGCCUGAUCCAGCCAUACCGCGUGGGUGAAGAAGGCCUUCGGGUUGUAAAGCCCUUUUGUUGGGAAAGAAAAGCAGCAGGUUAAUCCCCCGCUGUUCUGACGGUACCCAAAGAAUAAGCACCGGCUAACUUCGUG